RNAcentral lists this long non-coding RNA (183 nucleotides) under Dasypus novemcinctus (nine-banded armadillo). Its description in RNAcentral is "lncRNA (ENSDNOG00000052060.1)". Lineage: Eukaryota; Metazoa; Chordata; Mammalia; Cingulata; Dasypodidae. The record is from RNAcentral.
AGGUCCUAUAGGGUGGGGUUACUUGGGCAGGGAUGGUGGGGGUUGUAAGUGAGGCCCAGGCUCUUAUCAGUGGAGCUGCACCAAAAACUGUCAUAUGAAAAAUAAAUCUGGAUUUAGAGUCAAUGUGAGGCCGAAGAGGUACAGAGAGAGGCCAGCAGACCCCGGGUGCUCAAAUGGGCCCAG